Molecule: unclassified non-coding RNA, 232 nt
Filed under: rhizosphere metagenome
Description: partial ribosomal RNA internal transcribed spacer region
Source: RNAcentral
GUAGGUGAACCUGCGGAAGGAUCAUUAAAUGAAGCAACCUAGGAGCCUGAGAUAUGGCACUGGGCACACCUUCCACCCUUUGUUUAUCACACUUUGUUGCUUUGGCAGGCCUGCCUCCAGGCUGCUGGCUCCGGCCGGCGAGCGCCUGCCAGAGGACCCAAACUCUGUUUGUCUGUAACGUCUGAGUACUAUAUAAUAGUUAAAACUUUCAACAACGGAUCUCUUGGUUCUG